UCAGAGGCGAUGAAGGGCGUGCUAAUCUGCGAUAAGCGCCGGUAAGGUGAUAUGAACCGUUAUAACCGGCGAUACCCGAAUGGGGAAACCCAGUGUGACUCGUCACACUAUCAUUAACUGAAUCCAUAGGUUAAUGAGGCGAACCGGGGGAACUGAAACAUCUAAGUACCCCGAGGAAAAGAAAUCAACCGAGAUUCCCCCAGUAGCGGCGAGCGAACGGGGAGGAGCCCAGAGCCUGAAUCAGCAUGUGUGUUAGUGGAAGCGUCUGGAAAGGCGCGCGAUACAGGGUGACAGCCCCGUACACAAAAGCGCAUGUGCUGUGAGCUCGAUGAGUAGGGCGGGACACGUGGUAUCCUGUCUGAAUAUGGGGGGACCAUCCUCCAAGGCUAAAUACUCCUGACUGACCGAUAGUGAACCAGUACCGUGAGGGAAAGGCGAAAAGAACCCCGGCGAGGGGAGUGAAAAAGAACCUGAAACCGUGUACGUACAAGCAGUGGGAGCACCCUUUGGGUGUGACUGCGUACCUUUUGUAUAAUGGGUCAGCGACUUAUAUUCUGUAGCAAGGUUAACCGAAUAGGGGAGCCGGAGGGAAACCGAGUCUUAACCGGGCGUUAAGUUGCAGGGUAUAGACCCGAAACCCGGUGAUCUAGCCAUGGGCAGGUUGAAGGUUGGGUAACACUAACUGGAGGACCGAACCGACUAAUGUUGAAAAAUUAGCGGAUGACCUGUGGCUGGGGGUGAAAGGCCAAUCAAACCGGGAGAUAGCUGGUUCUCCCCGAAAGCUAUUUAGGUAGCGCCUCGUGAAUUCAUCUCCGGGGGUAGAGCACUGUUUCGGCUAGGGGGCCAUCCCGGCUUACCAACCCGAUGCAAACUGCGAAUACCGGAGAAUGUUAUCACGGGAGACACACGGCGGGUGCUAACGUCCGUCGUGAAGAGGGAAACAACCCAGACCGCCAGCUAAGGUCCCAAAGUCAUGGUUAAGUGGGAAACGAUGUGGGAAGGCCCAGACAGCCAGGAUGUUGGCUUAGAAGCAGCCAUCAUUUAAAGAAAGCGUAAUAGCUCACUGGUCGAGUCGGCCUGCGCGGAAGAUGUAACGGGGCUAAACCAUGCACCGAAGCUGCGGCAGCGACACUGUGUGUUGUUGGGUA
This 1148-nucleotide ribosomal RNA is filed under the name Salmonella enterica. RNAcentral's name for it is "partial 23S ribosomal RNA". It matches the Rfam family "Bacterial large subunit ribosomal RNA", at positions 40 to 1230 of the family's 2925-position model. The record is from RNAcentral. Lineage: Bacteria; Pseudomonadati; Pseudomonadota; Gammaproteobacteria; Enterobacterales; Enterobacteriaceae.